CUGGUCCCAAACUCACGGAAUUUACAGCCAAUUAUGAGCAGGCAUUAUUAAUAUUUGUGUUUGGGGGUCAGACCAGAGUUUGGUAGGUUUGUACCCAUCUGUAAGCCAGAAUCCCUGAAUCUCCAUACGCAACUGCAUGGUCUUGUGGAGGCGAGACGUCUGGGGGGAACGAACGGUGACUCCAAGAGCCUGUGUGGGGGUGUCUGUGCAAGGAGGAGCUUGGAAAGUGCUAGAAGUUGUGUGCAGCCUCUUGGGAAGCCCUCCCUCUGAAGAGUUGUGUUGCUGUGGGAAGGAAGCAGCGUGUUGGAAGAGGGCCUUAACGCAGCCGCCUUUCCCAAGAGUUCGGGGAGUCAUUCUGAUGAGCCAUCAGCAGGAACUGAGAAAGCCUGCAGAUAAAUGGAAAUGGAGAGGAGGGCUGUCAAGGAAACGUGUGGUUAACUUUGGAAUUGAAGAGUGCAGAUGUCAACAAAGCAGGUAUUUCAUUAGAGCAGAUCAAUACGCUUAACAGCAGGACCGCCAUGAGAUACAUUGUAGAUAACUGCCUUGUCUAUGCAUGAAAGUUGGGCUGUAUUGUGGGUUUUUAAUAAGUUGAACAUAUCCUUUUUAGUUGCAUGAAGUAAUGAUUGCUGAUCACCUGCAAGUGAUGCCGCUCUACUUGUUCCCUUGAUAGAAUAAUUAAUAAACUUAUGGCUCCUUUGUGUCUUUUCUAAUUG
This 713-nucleotide long non-coding RNA is filed under the name Sus scrofa (pig). RNAcentral describes it as "lncRNA (ENSSSCG00025016154.1)". Lineage: Eukaryota; Metazoa; Chordata; Mammalia; Artiodactyla; Suidae. The record is from RNAcentral.